RNAcentral lists this transfer RNA (69 nucleotides) under Bacillus amyloliquefaciens. RNAcentral's name for it is "tRNA-Asn". It matches the Rfam family "tRNA". Rfam says of the family: Transfer RNA (tRNA) molecules are approximately 80 nucleotides in length. Their secondary structure includes four short double-helical elements and three loops (D, anti-codon, and T loops). Further hydrogen bonds mediate the characteristic L-shaped molecular structure. tRNAs have two regions of fundamental functional importance: the anti-codon, which is responsible for specific mRNA codon recognition, and the 3' end, to which the tRNAs corresponding amino acid is attached (by aminoacyl-tRNA synthetases). tRNAs cope with the degeneracy of the genetic code in two manners: having more than one tRNA (with a specific anti-codon) for a particular amino acid; and 'wobble' base-pairing, i.e. permitting non-standard base-pairing at the 3rd anti-codon position. Lineage: Bacteria; Bacillati; Bacillota; Bacilli; Caryophanales; Bacillaceae. The record is from RNAcentral.
AACGCAGUAGCUCAGUGGUAGAGCUAUCGGCUGUUAACCGAUCGGUCGUAGGUUCGAGUCCUACCUGCG